UGGAUAAUGAUUGAACACGUGGAUGGUUUAGAUUUGCUAUGUUUUGUUUUUCAUUGACUUUUAAAGUGUAUUUUGAGGUUUUGAGUAGUAGAUUUUAAAGGUAUAAGGUUUAGGUAAAAUGAAGAGUUUGGGGUUUGCUUUUGAGUCAAAUUGGACUUAUUCAAACUCCUAGGUUGCUUGGUUGGUCAAUAGUGAAAAUAGGUAGAUUUGAGUUUU
Molecule: long non-coding RNA, 216 nt
Filed under: Vigna radiata
Lineage: Eukaryota; Viridiplantae; Streptophyta; Magnoliopsida; Fabales; Fabaceae
Description: long non-coding RNA (VRAD_LNC001498)
Source: RNAcentral